RNAcentral lists this ribosomal RNA (590 nucleotides) under uncultured Actinomycetales bacterium. Its description in RNAcentral is "bacterial SSU rRNA". It matches the Rfam family "Bacterial small subunit ribosomal RNA", at positions 98 to 701 of the family's 1533-position model. The record is from RNAcentral. Lineage: Bacteria; Bacillati; Actinomycetota; Actinomycetes; Actinomycetales.
GCGAACGGGUGAGUAACACGUGGGUGAUCUGCCCUGCACUUCGGGAUAAGCUUGGGAAACUGGGUCUAAUACCGGAUAGGAGCCAUCUUUAGUGUGGUGGUUGGAAAGUUUUUUCGGUGUAGGAUGAGCUCGCGGCCUAUCAGCUUGUUGGUGGGGUAAUGGCCUACCAAGGCGGCGACGGGUAGCCGGCCUGAGAGGGUGUACGGCCACAUUGGGACUGAGAUACGGCCCAGACUCCUACGGGAGGCAGCAGUGGGGAAUAUUGCACAAUGGGCGCAAGCCUGAUGCAGCGACGCCGCGUGGGGGAUGAAGGCCUUCGGGUUGUAAACUCCUUUCGCUAGGGACGAAGCUUUGUUGUGACGGUACCUAGAUAAGAAGCACCGGCUAACUACGUGCCAGCAGCCGCGGUAAUACGUAGGGUGCGAGCGUUGUCCGGAAUUACUGGGCGUAAAGGGCUCGUAGGUGGUUUGUCGCGUCGUCUGUGAAAUUCUGGGGCUUAACUCCGGGCGUGCAGGCGAUACGGGCAUAACUUGAGUGCUGUAGGGGUAACUGGAAUUCCUGGUGUAGCGGUGAAAUGCGCAGAUAUCAGU